GUAUAUGGCCAUACUACCCUGAAUGCACCUGAUCUUGUCUGAUCUCAGAAGGUAAGCAGGGUCAGGACUGGUUAGUACUUGGAUGGCAAAAUAGCUAGUACACUUCCAUCUUCC
Molecule: ribosomal RNA, 114 nt
Filed under: Microcebus murinus (gray mouse lemur)
Lineage: Eukaryota; Metazoa; Chordata; Mammalia; Primates; Cheirogaleidae
Source: RNAcentral